Molecule: transfer RNA, 76 nt
Filed under: Bacteroidales bacterium
Lineage: Bacteria; Pseudomonadati; Bacteroidota; Bacteroidia; Bacteroidales
Also listed under: 2 other names
Description: tRNA-Asp
Rfam family: tRNA
About the family: Transfer RNA (tRNA) molecules are approximately 80 nucleotides in length.
Source: RNAcentral
GGAGCUGUGGUGUAGUGGUUAACAUGCCUGCCUGUCACGCAGGAGAUCGCGAGUUCGACUCUCGUCAGCUCCGCCA